CUGGAGGCGGCUUCUCCGGCCGGGCAGCCCCGCCACCGCGACGCCGGGCCCCUGACGUCACCCGAUUCGCCAGGAAAUGAACUUUUUAAUAAUCCGAGGAGGGAGGAAAGCCCUCGGUCCCCUCAGCUCGGGGGGCACCCGGCCAGGCCCAGCUCCGCCUGCGCGCCCCGGUCACCCUCUCCCAAGGCCAGCUCUGGGCAGUGGCCGGGGUUGGGGGCCUCCUCCUGCCUCUGCGACCGGCUAUCUGUUCGUCUGUCUGAGGCCCCGGCUCAGCUUACAAUUCAUCAACGCAUAAAAGGCGGUCGCCACGAAGCCUCCAGCCUCUUUUGCCGCCGCGGAGCCCAGCAGGAGCUUCCCAAAGACAACGCGUCCCCAAGGACUAUCCCCCGUGUCCGGCAAGUCUGUCCUGCUGGAGCCCAAACCCCAGGACUCAGCGCAGGAGGGCCCCCGACCCGCUGGCCGGCCGCGAGGCGGUGAGCGCCGGAGCCGAGCGGAAGCUUUCCGCCAGGCUGCGAUCGGCGCCUCGGUUCGCAGGGAGGUGGCCGUUCCCAGCCCUUGGGAAAACAGGUAAUUCGCCUUUUUCCACCAAAGGCGCGGUUCAAAUUAUCCCCCGUUCUGGGUGGGUCUUCAGUUUCAUCACUGCGAACUGGGCUUCAAGCCCCUCCAGGGCAGCAUCCUGGCCACUGCAGAGCUGGGGGUGACCCCUGCGGACCGGCCUCUGCCCAAACGGCAGCCCAGCGUUGCCCGCCAGCCUUGCGCAGCACGGAGCAGUGGGCAAGGAUUUAAUUACCCCGCUCGGCGGCUCAGAAAAUCGCCGCGAAGAGGAG
RNAcentral lists this long non-coding RNA (827 nucleotides) under Sus scrofa (pig). RNAcentral describes it as "lncRNA (ENSSSCG00070013328.1)". Lineage: Eukaryota; Metazoa; Chordata; Mammalia; Artiodactyla; Suidae. The record is from RNAcentral.